UACGAAGGGGGCUAGCGUUGUUCGGAAUCACUGGGCGUAAAGGGUGCGUAGGCGGCCCGUUAAGUCAGUGGUGAAAGCCUCCAGCUCAACUGGAGAACUGCCAUUGAUACUGACGGGCUUGAGUACAGACGAGGUUGGCGGAAUUGAUUGUGUAGCGGUGAAAUGCAUAGAUACAAUCAAGAACUCCGAUUGCGUAGGCAGCUAACUAGGCUGUAACUGACGCUGAGGCACGAAAGCGUGGGGAGCGAACAGG
Molecule: ribosomal RNA, 253 nt
Filed under: uncultured bacterium
Lineage: Bacteria
Description: partial 16S ribosomal RNA
Rfam family: Bacterial small subunit ribosomal RNA
Source: RNAcentral